This 242-nucleotide unclassified non-coding RNA is filed under the name Hevea brasiliensis (rubber tree). Lineage: Eukaryota; Viridiplantae; Streptophyta; Magnoliopsida; Malpighiales; Euphorbiaceae. The record is from RNAcentral.
UCUCUCUCUCUCUCUCUCCUUUUUGGGUAUUGUUUUAAAUGCAUGUUGUGCUUGUUACUCAUGGAGGCAAUUUCACAUCACAUUUUGUAUAUCGACACUUUGUUUUACCAGCUUGUCUUUCAUGCUCUGUCUCUAAGCUCUAAGAAGUUCAUUAACUUGGCACUUGCUGUUUGCACUUUAAAUUUUAUCAACAUUGCAAUGAGAGUCAUUGUUUCUUAUUGCUGCUGCAAUUUCUUUGUUUC